Molecule: long non-coding RNA, 1121 nt
Organism: Monodelphis domestica (gray short-tailed opossum)
Lineage: Eukaryota; Metazoa; Chordata; Mammalia; Didelphimorphia; Didelphidae
Source: RefSeq, a predicted model, not a curated record
CAGUUUCCUCAUGUUUAAAAUAAAAGAGUCUAGAGUAGGUGACUUUCAAGGCCCCUAAAGCCCCUAACGUUAUAUGACUAUUCUACUUGUUUUGGGAAAACACCAUUGUAGAUAUUUGCAGUGUUGCCUGAGCACCAUACUAGAUGGGCGAGGGAUCAUGACAAGGCACUUUGUUUAAAACUUCUGAAAAUAAUGGCAUGUCCUAACAUCAUUAUCCAGGAGUACAUUGUGAGUUCAAGGGUGAACUCGGGCCCACUUACAUACUUAGAACAGGCAGACACUAAAAAGGAAAUGAAGUUGAAAUCUGAGGCCAAAUGUGGGAGCUGUCCGAAGUACGAGGUAAUGCCCAAGAGUUUUCCAACUCCACUGGGCAUUAUCCCAGGGUAAUCAGUAUCCCAGGGUAAGUCAGACCAAUGGAUCAGGAAUGGGCUACUGGACCUCUCUUCCCUUGGAGCAGACAGCCAUUGUGCUGAGGACAGAUAAACUAUGCUGUUUCUUCAAUUUACUAUCUCCCCUGGGUUCUGAUCCUAUUUCUGCUAAUUCAACUCUGGACAAGAUCUCAGAGCUCUUUAGGGUAGUGGGAUCUGGCAGCAAUUCACAAACCAACUUCUCUGUGGCCCUCAUCUGGACUGUUAAGGUUUGAUUUUUCUCCAGGAAGCACAUGAAUGCAUAAUCCAGGCUAGGAAAAUACACUGCUGGGUCUCACUACUCCUACAAUGCAAAACAUUUCCUUUUGAGAGCUUCCCUCCUGUCAUCUCCUAAGAAAGAAAAACAUUUGAUAGCCUGUUUUCAAUAUUCCUUAUCCCCAGGCAAUUGCCAAGGAUAUUAUGUGACUUCCCUCUUUCUACUCUUCCUUGAACAAACUUGACCCAGCCUUCUGAUUUCGGGAUAUGGGCUGAGCCAUCUAUUAUGAAAACGGUCAGAGACAAACCCAUCAUCUUACUCCCCGGGAAACAAGAAGAGUUGCCUCAAAAACUCCAUGCGACGUGUCCCCACUCCAUCCACGCUCCCGCCCCCCUCUAUUUCCCAGGAGAAACCUUAGUGUCCUAUUUCUACCUGAGACAAGCAGGGAGGCUGUGGGGCAGCGUCUUACCUGAGAUAAAAUGUUCUCUUGGUUGUCC